AUUGAACGCUGGCGGCAGGCCUAACACAUGCAAGUCGAGCGGAUGAAGGGAGCUUGCUCCUGGAUUCAGCGGCGGACGGGCGAGUAAUGCCUAGGAAUCUGCCUGGUAGUGGGGGAUAACGUCCGGAAACGGGCGCUAAUACCGCAUACGUCCUGAGGGAGAAAGUGGGGGAUCUUCGGACCUCACGCUAUCAGAUGAGCCUAGGUCGGAUUAGCUAGUUGGUGGGGUAAAGGCCUACCAAGGCGACGAUCCGUAACUGGUCUGAGAGGAUGAUCAGUCACACUGGAACUGAGACACGGUCCAGACUCCUACGGGAGGCAGCAGUGGGGAAUAUUGGACAAUGGGCGAAAGCCUGAUCCAGCCAUGCCGCGUGUGUGAAGAAGGUCUUCGGAUUGUAAAGCACUUUAAGUUGGGAGGAAGGGCAGUACGUUAAUACCUUGCUGUUUUGACGUUACCAACAGAAUAAGCACCGGCUAACUUCGUG
Molecule: ribosomal RNA, 484 nt
Filed under: uncultured bacterium
Lineage: Bacteria
Description: partial 16S ribosomal RNA
Rfam family: Bacterial small subunit ribosomal RNA
Source: RNAcentral